CCUACGGGAGGCAGCAGUGAGGAAUAUUGGUCAAUGGGCGGAAGCCUGAACCAGCCAAGUAGCGUGCGGGAUGACGGCCCUACGGGUUGUAAACCGCUUUUGUACGGGGAUAACACCCUCCACUUGUGCAUGUCUGCAGGUACCUUACGAAUAAGGGUCGGCUAACUCCGUGCCAGCAGCCGCGGUAAUACGGAGGGUCCGAGCGUUAUCCGGAUUUAUUGGGGUAAAGGGGAGCGUAGGCGGUUAUUAAAGUCAGCGGUAAAAUCGCGCGGCUCAACCGCACAUCGCAGUUGAAACUGGAAGUCUUGAGUACAGAAGAGGUAGGCGGAAUUCGUGGUGUAGCGGUGAAAUGCAUAGAUAUCACGAAGAACCCCGAUUGCGAAGGCAGCCUGC
RNAcentral lists this ribosomal RNA (393 nucleotides) under uncultured bacterium. Its description in RNAcentral is "partial 16S ribosomal RNA". It matches the Rfam family "Bacterial small subunit ribosomal RNA", at positions 338 to 729 of the family's 1533-position model. The record is from RNAcentral.